AAUAGCUCAGUUGGUUAGAGUGCUGGUCUGUCACGCCAGAAGUCGCGGGUUCGAACCCCGUUUUCCCCG
This is a non-coding RNA of Triticum aestivum (bread wheat), 69 nucleotides long. The record is from Rfam. Lineage: Eukaryota; Viridiplantae; Streptophyta; Magnoliopsida; Poales; Poaceae.